This is a non-coding RNA of Rattus norvegicus (Norway rat), 164 nucleotides long. The record is from Rfam. NCBI's taxonomy places the organism in Eukaryota, Metazoa, Chordata, Mammalia, Rodentia, Muridae.
UGCUUUUGCAGUUUAAAUGGGUGUGGUGCUAAGUAUAUCUUGUUUAUCUUUCUGUGGAAAAAGUUUUCAAGUCUGGUGGAGUUUGUCACCUCAUGCCGGUUGCCUAGCACUAUCAAGUGGAUCCCUACCUAGCAACAGAGAGUGGGUGAUCGCGGGAGCUUGUU